UUGUUAGAAAGUGCAACAAUUAAAUUUAAAAGUAUUCGUGAAAAUGAUAUUUGAUUAGUUAAAAAUACUUUAUUACUGAUUAUUUAACUAAAAAUACAGUGUUUUUCUCUGAUUCGUUAGAAAGUGCAACCGUAAGCAAAUCCACCUUUAUCUAUAAAAAAAAAAACAAGAGAAAAGCAUAUCCGUAUAUAAAAUCCAA
This 199-nucleotide long non-coding RNA is filed under the name Capsella rubella. RNAcentral describes it as "long non-coding RNA (CRUB_LNC004632)". Lineage: Eukaryota; Viridiplantae; Streptophyta; Magnoliopsida; Brassicales; Brassicaceae. The record is from RNAcentral.